RNAcentral lists this ribosomal RNA (370 nucleotides) under uncultured bacterium. Its description in RNAcentral is "bacterial SSU rRNA". It matches the Rfam family "Bacterial small subunit ribosomal RNA", at positions 29 to 426 of the family's 1533-position model. The record is from RNAcentral.
AGCGAACGCUGGCGGCAGGCCUAAUACAUGCAAGUCGAACGCACCUUCGGGUGAGUGGCGGACGGGUGAGUAACGCGUGGGAACGUGCCCUUUGGUACGGAACAACUGAGGGAAACUUCAGCUAAUACCGUAUGUGCCCUUCGGGGGAAAGAUUUAUCGCCAUUGGAGCGGCCCGCGUUGGAUUAGCUAGUUGGUGGGGUAAAAGCCUACCAAGGCGACGAUCCAUAGCUGGGUCUGAGAGGAUGAUCAGCCACACUGGGACUGAGACACGGCCCAGACUCCUACGGGAGGCAGCAGUAGGGAAUCUUGCGCAAUGGGCGAAAGCCUGACGCAGCCAUGCCGCGUGAAUGAUGAAAGGUCUUAGGAUUGU